RNAcentral lists this transfer RNA (73 nucleotides) under Actinomycetota bacterium. RNAcentral's name for it is "Actinobacteria bacterium tRNA-Ser". The record is from RNAcentral. Lineage: Bacteria; Bacillati; Actinomycetota.
GCCUCGAUAGUUCAAGGGAUAGAACACCGACCCGCUAAGUCGGAGGUUAUCGGAUCAAAGCCGAUUCGGGGCA